GACGAACGCUGGCGGCGUGCUUAACACAUGCAAGUCGAGCGGUAAGGCCCUUUCGGGGUACGACGAGCGGCGAACGGGUAGGAGUAACAACGUGGGUGGACCUCGCCCUCCAGCUCUGGGAGUAAGACCUCGGGAAACCGGGGUACCGUAAUAACCGGACGUAUGACUCCACUGACGCAUGUUGUGGGGUGGGAAAGACCUUGUGCGGCUGAGGAGUGGGCCCGGCCGGCCUACUCAGCUUGUUGGUGGGGUGGAUGGCCUACCAAGGCGACGAC
Molecule: ribosomal RNA, 275 nt
Filed under: uncultured bacterium
Lineage: Bacteria
Description: partial 16S ribosomal RNA
Rfam family: Bacterial small subunit ribosomal RNA
Source: RNAcentral